Molecule: non-coding RNA, 1485 nt
Organism: Pelobates cultripes (western spadefoot toad)
Lineage: Eukaryota; Metazoa; Chordata; Amphibia; Anura; Pelobatidae
Source: the annotation of a GenBank genome assembly
CUAAUGUCGUGUCCCCAGGUCUCCCAGUGAUCCUAUGUAUCACAGUGUCUCAAUGCCCCAUGUCUCCCUGUGUCCCCAUGUAUCCCAGGGUCCCCAUGUCACUAGGAAGAUGGGGAGACCUGGGGAACAUGGAGACACAAGUGACACUGGAAGACUAGGGGACUCUGGCUGGGACACAUGGGGACAAUGGGAAAAUAGGGGACACUUGAAGACAUGGGGACACAGACACCAGGGACACAGAAACUAGAGACACUGGCUGGGGGACAUUGAGACAUGGGGACAUUGAGACACCAGGCCCACAGACACUAGCUUGGAGACAUGGGGACAUUGUGACACUUUAGGCAAUGAGAGACAUGGAGGCACUAGGAGACAUGGAGACAGUGAGACACUGGCAGACUGGGAGACUAGGGGUCACUGGGAGACAAGGGGGCACUGAGACACCAGGGACACUGGCUGGGAGACAUGGGGACACUGUGUCCCCAUGUGUCUGUGUCAUAAUAUCUCCCAAUGCCCCUUAGUGUCUCAGUGUCUGCCAUAAUGUCUCCCAGUGCCCCCUAGUGUCUCAGUGUCUGCCAUAAUGUCUCCCAGUGUCCCCUAGUGUCUCAGUGUCUGUCAUAAUGUCUCCCAAUGUCCCUUAGUGUCUCAGUGUCUGCCAUAAUGUCUCCCAAUGCCCCUUAGUGUCUCAGUGUCUGCCAUAAUGUCUCCCAGUGCCCCUUAGUGUCUCAGUGUCUGCCAUAAUGUCUCCCAACGCCCCUUAGUGUCUCAUUGUGUGCAAUAAUAUCUCCCAGUGUCUCAGUGUCUGCCAUAAUGUCUCCCAAUGUCCCUUAGUGUCUCAGUGUCUGCCAUAAUGUCUCCCACUGUCCCUUAGUGUCUCAGUGUCUGCCAUAAUGUCUCCCAGUGCCCUUUAGUGUCUCAGUGUCUGCCAUAAUGUCUCCCAGUGUCCCUUAGUGUCUCAGUGUCUGCCAUAAUGUCUCCCAGUGCCUCUUAGUGUCUCAGUGUCUGCCAUAAUGUCUCCCAGUGUCCCUUAGUGUCUCAGUGUCUGACAUAAUGUCUCCCAAUGUCCCUUAGUGUCUCAGUGUCUAACAUAAUGUCUCCCAAUGUCCCUUAGUGUCUCAGUGUCUGCCAUAAUGUCUCCCAGUGCCCCUUAGUGUCUGUGUCUGCCAUAAUGUCUCCCAGUGUCCCAGUGUAUGUCUCCUUGCAGCCUUUCCCCCAUCCCUCACUUCCCUGAGGGUGGGAGUUCUGUCUGGACUAUCUGUAGCUGCACCCCUACAGAUCAUUGAAUAUAGAUAGGCAGGGACGGAUAUGCUGGAAAUUCCUAUCCCUGCCUGUCUCCACACACAGCGACCCCUACUAUUGCAUAGUAAUCUCUUGUUUAUACUGAGAAAAAUACCAGCAUUUGUAUUGCCAGUAUCACUGCAAUUGGCACCAGCCAGGCAGCCUCAAACACUGGCUGUGCCAAUAAAAUAAAAGCCAGGUGGAAUCCCU